CCAGACUCCUACGGGAGGCAGCAGUGGGGGAUAUUGCACAAUGGGGGGAACCCUGAUGCAGCGACGCCGCGUGGGUGAAGGAGCGUUUCGGCGCGUAAAGCCCUAUCGGCAGGGAAGAAGGAGGACGGUACCUGACUAAGAAGCCCCGGCUAACUACGUGCCAGCAGCCGCGGUAAUACGUAGGGGGCAAGCGUUAUCCGGAUUUACUGGGUGUAAAGGGAGCGUAGACGGUUAUGUAAGUCUGGAGUGAAAGCCCGGGGCCCAACCCCGGGACUGCUUUGGAAACUGUGUAACUGGAGUACAGGAGGGGCAGGCGGAAUUCCUGGUGUAGCGGUGAAAUGCGUAGAUAUCAGGAGGAACACCGGCGGCGAAGGCGGCCUGCUGGACUGAAACUGACGUUGAGGCUCGAAAGCGUGGGGAGCAAACAGGAUUAGAUACCCCCGUAG
RNAcentral lists this ribosomal RNA (446 nucleotides) under uncultured bacterium. RNAcentral describes it as "bacterial SSU rRNA". It matches the Rfam family "Bacterial small subunit ribosomal RNA", at positions 331 to 793 of the family's 1533-position model. The record is from RNAcentral.